AGCAGUAGCCGCGGUAAUACAGAGGAUGCAAGCGUUAUCCGGAAUGAUUGGGCAUAAGGCGUCUGUAGGUGGCUUUUCAAGUCCGCCGUCAAAUCCCAGGGCUCAACCCUGGACAGGCGGUGGAAACUACCAAGCUGGAGUACGAUAGGGGCAGAGGGAAUUUCCGGUGUAGCGGUGAAAUGCGUAGAUAUCGGAAGGAACACCUGUGGCGAAAGCGGCUCACUGGACUAUAACUGACGCUGAUGCACGAAAGCUAGGGGAGCAAACAGGAUUAGAUACCCCUGUAGUCCCUGUCUCUUAUAC
This 303-nucleotide ribosomal RNA is filed under the name uncultured bacterium. RNAcentral describes it as "partial 16S ribosomal RNA". It matches the Rfam family "Bacterial small subunit ribosomal RNA", at positions 507 to 807 of the family's 1533-position model. The record is from RNAcentral.